This 1270-nucleotide ribosomal RNA is filed under the name Arthrobacter sp. RE 64. Its description in RNAcentral is "bacterial SSU rRNA". It matches the Rfam family "Bacterial small subunit ribosomal RNA", at positions 29 to 1312 of the family's 1533-position model. Lineage: Bacteria; Bacillati; Actinomycetota; Actinomycetes; Micrococcales; Micrococcaceae. The record is from RNAcentral.
AUGAACGCUGGCGGCGUGCUUAACACAUGCAAGUCGAACGAUGAAGCCCACUUGUGGGUGGAUUAGUGGCGAACGGGUGAGUAACACGUGAGUAACCUGCCCUUGACUCUGGGAUAAGCCUGGGAAACUGGGUCUAAUACCGGAUAUGACCUUCCAUCGCAUGGUGGUUGGUGGAAAGCUUUUGUGGUUUUGGAUGGACUCGCGGCCUAUCAGCUUGUUGGUGGGGUAAUGGCCUACCAAGGCGACGACGGGUAGCCGGCCUGAGAGGGUGACCGGCCACACUGGGACUGAGACACGGCCCAGACUCCUACGGGAGGCAGCAGUGGGGAAUAUUGCACAAUGGGCGCAAGCCUGAUGCAGCGACGCCGCGUGAGGGAUGACGGCCUUCGGGUUGUAAACCUCUUUCAGUAGGGAAGAAGCGAGAGUGACGGUACCUGCAGAAGAAGCGCCGGCUAACUACGUGCCAGCAGCCGCGGUAAUACGUAGGGCGCAAGCGUUAUCCGGAAUUAUUGGGCGUAAAGAGCUCGUAGGCGGUUUGUCGCGUCUGCCGUGAAAGUCCGGGGCUCAACUCCGGAUCUGCGGUGGGUACGGGCAGACUAGAGUGAUGUAGGGGAGACUGGAAUUCCUGGUGUAGCGGUGAAAUGCGCAGAUAUCAGGAGGAACACCGAUGGCGAAGGCAGGUCUCUGGGCAUUAACUGACGCUGAGGAGCGAAAGCAUGGGGAGCGAACAGGAUUAGAUACCCUGGUAGUCCAUGCCGUAAACGUUGGGCACUAGGUGUGGGGGACAUUCCACGUUUUCCGCGCCGUAGCUAACGCAUUAAGUGCCCCGCCUGGGGAGUACGGCCGCAAGGCUAAAACUCAAAGGAAUUGACGGGGGCCCGCACAAGCGGCGGAGCAUGCGGAUUAAUUCGAUGCAACGCGAAGAACCUUACCAAGGCUUGACAUGAACCGGACCGGGCUGGAAACAGUCUUUCCCCUUGUGGGCUGGUUUACAGGUGGUGCAUGGUUGUCGUCAGCUCGUGUCGUGAGAUGUUGGGUUAAGUCCCGCAACGAGCGCAACCCUCGUUCUAUGUUGCCAGCACGUGAUGGUGGGGACUCAUAGGAGACUGCCGGGGUCAACUCGGAGGAAGGUGGGGACGACGUCAAAUCAUCAUGCCCCUUAUGUCUUGGGCUUCACGCAUGCUACAAUGGCCGGUACAAAGGGUUGCGAUACUGUGAGGUGGAGCUAAUCCCAAAAAGCCGGUCUCAGUUCGGAUUGGGGUCUGCAACU